GACGAACGCUGGCGGCGUGCUUAACACAUGCAAGUCGAACGGAAAGGCCCUGCUUUUGUGGGGUGCUCGAGUGGCGAACGGGUGAGUAACACGUGAGUAACCUGCCCUUGACUUUGGGAUAACUUCAGGAAACUGGGGCUAAUACCGGAUAGGAUCUCCUGCUGCAUGGUGGGGGUUGGAAAGUUUCGGCGGUUGGGGAUGGACUCGCGGCUUAUCAGCUUGUUGGUGGGGUAGUGGCUUACCAAGGCUUUGACGGGUAGCCGGCCUGAGAGGGUGACCGGCCACAUUGGGACUGAGAUACGGCCCAGACUCCUACGGGAGGCAGCAGUGGGGAAUAUUGCACAAUGGGCGGAAGCCUGAUGCAGCAACGCCGCGUGCGGGAUGACGGCCUUCGGGUUGUAAACCGCUUGCGCCUGUGACGAAGCGUGAGUGACGGUAAUGGGUAAAGAAGCACCGGCUAACUACGUG
Molecule: ribosomal RNA, 468 nt
Filed under: uncultured bacterium
Lineage: Bacteria
Description: partial 16S ribosomal RNA
Rfam family: Bacterial small subunit ribosomal RNA
Source: RNAcentral